CCUACGGGAGGCAGCAGUGGGGAAUCUUGCGCAAUGGGCGAAAGCCUGACGCAGCCAUGCCGCGUGAAUGAUGAAGGUCUUAGGAUUGUAAAAUUCUUUCACCGGGGACGAUAAUGACGGUACCCGGAGAAGAAGCCCCGGCUAACUUCGUGCCAGCAGCCGCGGUAAUACGAAGGGGGCUAGCGUUGCUCGGAAUUACUGGGCGUAAAGGGAGCGUAGGCGGAUAGUUUAGUCAGAGGUGAAAGCCCAGGGCUCAACCUUGGAAUUGCCUUUGAUACUGGCUAUCUUGAGUAUGGGAGAGGUUAGCGGAACUCCGAGUGUAGAGGUGAAAUUCGUAGAUAUUCGGAAGAACACCAGUGGCGAAGGCGGCUAACUGGCCCAUUACCGACGCUGAGGCUCGAAAGCGUGGGGAGCAAACAGGAUUAGAUACCCUGGUAGUCCACGCCGUAAACGAUGAGUGCUAGUUGUCGGCAUGCAUGCAUGUCGGUGACGCAGCUACGCAUAAGUACACUCCGCCGUCGGGAGGUACGGUCGGCGAAGAAGUUAAAACGUUAACUAAAUAGUAAGUUAGUUACGGUCGUUGAGACGUUGCCGACGGACGACGACGAGGGGAGGUUAGG
This 620-nucleotide ribosomal RNA is filed under the name uncultured bacterium. Its description in RNAcentral is "bacterial SSU rRNA". The stretch from base 1 to 517 matches the Rfam family "Bacterial small subunit ribosomal RNA", at positions 338 to 873 of the family's 1533-position model. The record is from RNAcentral.